GAACAAGUGAGAAUAAAGAACUAAAUAUCAACCACUAAAUAUACCCUCCUCAAAUUAACACCCAUGAUUUCAUCAAGGCCACUAAAUAUUAGGGAUAGUUUAAAAAAAAUGCAACCAAACCCUAAAUCGAAUUCAAGGCCCAUAGAAAUAAGAUAUAAAGAAGGAAAUAGCCCAAGCCCAGAUCGAACGAGUGAGAAUAAAGAACUAAAUAUCAACGAGUAAAUUUACCCUC
Molecule: long non-coding RNA, 232 nt
Filed under: Carica papaya (papaya)
Lineage: Eukaryota; Viridiplantae; Streptophyta; Magnoliopsida; Brassicales; Caricaceae
Description: long non-coding RNA (CPAP_LNC009324)
Source: RNAcentral